Long non-coding RNA from Dreissena polymorpha, 308 nucleotides. RefSeq lists it as uncharacterized. Lineage: Eukaryota; Metazoa; Mollusca; Bivalvia; Myida; Dreissenidae. The transcript is spliced from 3 exons. The record is from RefSeq and is a predicted model, not a curated record.
UACAAGCCUUCAGAUGAGAAUGGCAAGCUUGUAGAGGCUGUUAUAAGAGGCGAUGCUAAGGAUGUCUUAACGAUCAUCCGCCAGGCUUACACGGAUUUCAGAGAAUUGACCAGUGCGUCUUUUGGCGUAGAUGGCAGUAGUAACUUUUUUGUCGUAGACGCCAAUGGAGACAGGAGGACUUUCAUCCCAGAUGAGUUAAAUAAAGAUGGUAUUACCAAUGCUAUUGAGUGCAAAGCAGUUGACACCCCUCACGAUUUAGCUCGAGGUGACCUGGUGAGGAUCCUUCCGACCGCGGCGUCGUCUUACCC